CAGCUAGCUUGCUGCAGCGCGAGCUGUUUUUCAGCUGAAAGGCGCCCCCUGGGUCCUAAGCCUCCUAGGUCAUGCAAAAUCUAACUGAGCCAAGAAAGGAACUCAGCCAAGAGAUAUGCAGGUUGUGCUUAGCAGCCGAUCAGUUUGAGACCUGCGAGGCCGCAUCCCCAGGGUUUUUCAUCUCUUCUGUUUCCAUUUGUAACUGUAAGAGAAAGCAACAUUCACCUUUGUGUCACAGAUCAAAUGGUAACCCACUGAAGACCACCCCAUUACCUUGUGCUAGAACGGAACUGCCUCUGCCAUCUCUCUUUAACAGAAGCACAUCCUGAGAACCUGAGAGCUCAAGGUAAGUGGCUGAACACUGUCAACACAUACAGACAUCUAACUGUCUCCUUACUGUACAGCCAUAGCAAGAAACAAACGCAUGCAAUGCUGUCAAGGUAGAAGACACCACUGUUUACUACCCCAGUCCCAAAUAUCUGUGUACGUUAGCACAGCCUACCUAGCUCUUCUGUCAUUGUCUUUUUAAGUAAACAUUAUACAUUUGAACUGAA
This 554-nucleotide long non-coding RNA is filed under the name Homo sapiens (human). RNAcentral describes it as "PIK3IP1 divergent transcript". Lineage: Eukaryota; Metazoa; Chordata; Mammalia; Primates; Hominidae. The record is from RNAcentral.